UUAGCAAGUUUUGUAAAUUGGUGUACUAUGCACACAGAUCUGAUUUUUUUGCAUGCAUAAAUGAAGUAAAAUGAUGCAUGCCAAAAAUUGCAAGAGGCUAGAUUAUUUUCUCAAUACAGCCUUUGUAACUGAUUUUAAAAUUGCAAAAAAAUGCAGUAAAGUCCAUUCAAGAGACUGUGCCUGGGUCACCGAGUAAGUUGGAGGAUGUUUGUCUAUUCCUGUGAGAUCUAAAUUUUGGCUUUUUCACACCAGAUGCUGGCAGUCUACACUCACGAAGUGCCAUUGAUGACUUCAUAGAGGAACCUCCCACUUCGAUGACUGCAUGUGCAGCAAAAGAAUCUGAUGACCUGCCUAGUCCAAGUAGGCUUUUUUACUUGUGUGCUUCUAUUGUAGGAAACUACUGAAUUUCCAUGUUUCACAAAUUUGCAACAUCUUUUUUCAGGGAAAUGUUUUUCAUAUUUAGAAGAUGGCUCUAUCCCUUCACAUUGACAUCCCGUAUAAUCAUGUGAUUUUGGGACAUGAAACCCAUGAUAUUAUUAUAAGCCGUGUGAAACAAACUGCCUGCCGAACAGCUCAGAGGUGCCUCCACAAUAACGAUGUGCAGCUACUUGGCAUGUUGCCAAUGACAGUGGUGCAAAACAGCAGCAGUUGUUGUUUCAUCUUCAAAAGGGCAUCUGCCUGACGCCUAUUCAGGCAAAAAGAAUUCUGUCUCACAAGAAGGCAAGGCUGGUGGUGAAGGAAACGG
Rhipicephalus microplus (southern cattle tick) is the source of this 745-nucleotide long non-coding RNA. The record is from RefSeq and is a predicted model, not a curated record. Lineage: Eukaryota; Metazoa; Arthropoda; Arachnida; Ixodida; Ixodidae.